Molecule: long non-coding RNA, 149 nt
Organism: Bufo bufo (common toad)
Lineage: Eukaryota; Metazoa; Chordata; Amphibia; Anura; Bufonidae
Exons: 3
Source: RefSeq, a predicted model, not a curated record
GCACAACAUUAAUCAAGUUGUAUCUUUGCCUGUGUCAUGUUCCUCUUCUUCCUCUCCAGAAGAAAGUUCCCUCCAUACUCUGGAUGUGGCCAGAUGUUUGAGAAUCUACAUUGAGAGAUCCCGGGAGUUCAGAAGCCUGUCAUCACUCC